Molecule: ribosomal RNA, 513 nt
Filed under: uncultured bacterium
Lineage: Bacteria
Description: partial 16S ribosomal RNA
Rfam family: Bacterial small subunit ribosomal RNA
Source: RNAcentral
AUUGAACGCUGGCGGCAUGCCUAACACAUGCAAGUGGAACGGCAGCACAGUAAAGACUUCGGUCUUUAUGGGUGGCGAGUGGCGGACGGGUGAGUCACGCGUAGGAAUCUGUCCUGGAGAGUGGGAUAACCCGAGGAAACUCGGGCUAAUACCGCAUGAUAUCGAGAGAUCAAAGGCAGGGGACCCUUCGGGGCCUGGCGCUCUAGGUUGAGCCUACGUCGGAUUAGCUAGUUGGUGGGGUAAAGGCCUACCAAGGCGACGAUCCGUAGCUGGUCUGAGAGGAUGACCAGCCACACUGGGACUGAGACACGGCCCAGACUCCUACGGGAGGCAGCAGUGGGGAAUCUUGGACAAUGGGGGAAACCCUGAUCCAGCGAUGCCGCGUGUGUGAAGAAGGCCUUCGGGUUGUAAAGCACUUUAGGUGGGGAAGAAAGGUAAUGAGUGAAUAACUGAUUGCUUUGACGGUACCCGCAGAAUAAGCACCGGCUAACUCUGUGCCAGCCGCCGCAGUAA